GACAUGGCUCAGGAUGAACACUAGCUACAGGCUUAACACAUGCAAGUCGAGGGGCAUCAGUUUGGUUUGCUUGCAAACCAAAGCUGGCGACCGGCGCACGGGUGAGUAACACGUAUCCAACCUGCCUCAUACUCGGGGAUAGCCUUUCGAAAGAAAGAUUAAUAUCCGAUAGCAUAUAUUUCCCGCAUGGGUUUUAUAUUAAAGAAAUUCGGUAUGAGAUGGGGAUGCGUUCCAUUAGUUUGUUGGG
Molecule: ribosomal RNA, 247 nt
Filed under: uncultured bacterium
Lineage: Bacteria
Description: partial 16S ribosomal RNA
Rfam family: Bacterial small subunit ribosomal RNA
Source: RNAcentral